RNAcentral lists this long non-coding RNA (2816 nucleotides) under Hordeum vulgare. RNAcentral's name for it is "long non-coding RNA (HVUL_LNC011651)". The record is from RNAcentral. Lineage: Eukaryota; Viridiplantae; Streptophyta; Magnoliopsida; Poales; Poaceae.
GAAAGGCUGAACGCAUUCCACCGCAGAGGAAUGUUCCAUGCCCGUAAACAUACAACGCUUCGUCAGGGAAAAAGGGCUUUCCAAAUCGCCAUCACUACGUCGCCUCCCAAAUCGAAGGAGAACCCUAGCCGCCCCUCCUUCCUUCCCUACCUCAUCCCCGUCUCACCGCCGCCGGAUGGCGCCCAGGGGCAAAGCUAGGUCCAGCCCCAAGGAGGGCCAUGGCGGGGCACCCGGUUCCUGUCGUCUGGGUAAACGAGAGGGGCUUGCCGGCCGCGGAGGUGGCAGAUUGGCGGCGAACGUGAGCCCUCCUCACCGGCGGCAGCAUUUCUUCCAAUCCUCACGCUCUACGGACGACUCGCUGACCUCGCCCGCUUCAUGGUCGUCUGGCCGACCUUGACUGCCUCUCGAGUUCCAGCGUCUCGCUUCGGCAAGCUCCACCGCGUCCUCAUCAUCAACCCGUAUCCCCGACCUGGACUAUGGUAACUUCUUACUCAUGUACGACAUUUUCCAGGCUGCUCACUGCCAUUAACAUGAUGGAUCAAUCAUUUUGCCUGAUAUCUUUGUUUAGCUUCUGUAGGUGAAGGUUCUUAAGUGUGAGCUCUUAACUUCUUCCCCACGCGUCCGCAUAUUGUCUCAGCACGGGUAAUUGACAUACUACUUUUCUAAUACCUGUGUUUUGAGAUCAGACUGCUCGCGUAUUCUGUGUGUGAUGCAAGAUGCACACUAAAAGAUUUUUUGAUCGGAUUGCCCGCUUACCUUCCAUGGGAGCUUCAGUUGGAAAUCUGGAAAACAGAAGACAAAAUUGUGUGUUGUGCAUGGACUUAUUAUCUUAUCAUUUUGAGGGUAUACUCUACUGUGUUUUGAGUGAAAUUAUGGUUUUGUACGUAUCAUGCUUUUUAGGGUACACACAGUGUUUAGCAUCGAGUUGCAUGGUAAACAUGACUGGAAAAAUAAAUCGAAAGGAACUCUCUGUGUGUCCUCUCCAGAUUAGUAUGACACCGAUAGACACAGAAUCGAGAGAUGAGUCCUCUCCAGAUCAGUUAGCGGUACUGUUAUGUUGGAUAGCUCUGAACCCCACAUUCCACGGUCACUAUGCUUGGUGAUAGCGAUUUCAGGAGCAUCAAAGUCUGUUCUACAAUAUCUCUAUGUGAUAUGCAACUUAGCAAGUUUUCAUCUUCAUUUAGAAAUUACUUAUCCAUUUUACAACAGCAUGGUAUGUUCGCUUUAAGAUGUCUUGCAGGUGCUAUGUUUAUUUCUGUAGAAGUUUUCUCUCCUGGAUUUGGCAUCAUUUAUUCCCAGGCUCAUUGUUUUCAUGACAAUCAGGAAAUCCGAUCGAGGAUAUAUUCAGUUCAUGAACUGCUAAAACAAAUACAUCUCAGGUGUGCUUCCUAAUCUUACUGCAAGGACAAAUAUAAUCUUCUCCUUUGACCAUCAAUCUUUUUUCUUAUUUGUAUGCUAAUGGCACACACUCUCGCAUGAAGGAGAGGAUGAUAACUACCCGGAAGUAAACCUGGGCAUAGUCCGGGCCGGGCCGGGUUUCGGAUCGGGCUUUAAAAAGCCCGAACGGGAAAACUCAAGCCUGAGCCAGGCCCGACCCGGUCGUCGGGCCUAACAAAUCGGGCCUGAACCUGACCCGAACAUGCGAAGCCCGGUAAAGCCCGACAGGCCUGGCCCGAUCUAGGCUUAAAAAUACAUUUUGCAAGCCUCAGCUCGGCCCGGUCUGCUCUUCGAGCUCACUUUUCAGGUCGAGUCCGGCCCGAUGGCACGAUCAGGCCCGGCCCGGCCCGGGAUUUUCGGGCCCGGUCGGAUCGGGCCGGCCGGGCCGGGCUGCGCAUGCCCAGAUUUACCCGGAAGCACAAGAUGUUGUUCAUGAAUUUGAUAGUGGUUUAGUGAGAUUGUGAAUUCCCUCCUUUUGAUCCUUUAAAUAUUUCAAAUUGAUUAUUUGAUCUUAUCUUCAUUCCAAUUAAAUUUCUUACCGCUUCUCCUAAUUGUCUAGCCAAUUAAGAAGAAAAAUCAUGUAUGAGAAAAUAAAGGUCUUUCUUGUAUUGGUUUUAUAUCUUGGCAGGUUAUUACUGGUUUUGCUGCCACAACAUGCAAAAUUUGGUGUGUGUGCGAGGCCAUGGGUUUGUGAUAGGAUGUUGAAGAUCAUAACCUCUAAGAUGUAUGACUACUCAAUAGGUGAGUUGUUGGUACUUCAACAUGCAAUAGUAGCAUAUGAAAGACUUAAUAAUCGCAGAUCAUGGUGAAAGGCAUUAUGAAUAUCAAUUUACAAGUGUGAUUUUGAAUAUAUUUUCAUCUAUUCCACAGGUUUACUCACUUUAUAGUUUGGCACAAUUGAUUUGUCAAUGUCCAAAAUGCAUAUACUUUCAGAAUUAUACAAGUUAUAGUUACGGUAUCUUUCAGAAUGAGAUGGACCUACUUAAUGAUCUAAGCUUCUAAGAAAUGUAUUUAUAUACCUAUUUGACAAUUUCCCCUUCAAUCUGAAUGAAUCACAGGAAAUGGAGAGUUCCACCGAGAGUGUGGGGGAAAUAUGCAUGCUACCAUCAGGAAAAGAGGAAACAAUCUAUAGCAUAUGAUCUUGAAGAGUGUAAAUAGUAGCUCUAUUUUGUUCUCCAAACAGAUCUCUUAGGAUAAACUCAUGUUGUCUACUGAAUCAUGUUGCAUUAAGAAGUAUGACACUGGAAUUAACAAAUGUAUUACUAAAUCUAAUGCUCUUCAUUUCCAACUUAUCAGAGAGAAUGAAAGGAUAUAAUACUAUCUCUAUGGAGCAACAUGACUACAUGGCAUCCCAUUUUUGAAAAUACAACUUGAGCAAC